AUUGAACGCUGGCGGCAGGCCUAACACAUGCAAGUCGAGCGGAGCGGCGGACGGGUGAGUAAUGCCUAGGAAUCUGCCUGGUAGUGGGGGAUAACGUCCAGAAACGGGCGCUAAUACCGCAUACUAUCAGAUCGGCCUAGGUCGGAUUGGCUAGUUGGUGGGGUAAAGGCCUACCACGGGGACGAUCCCUAGCUGGUCUGAGAGGAUGACCUGCCACACUGGAACAUAGACACGGUCCAGACUCCUACGGGAGGAAGCAGUGGGGAAUAUUGCACAAUGGGCGCAAGCCUGAUGCAGCCAUGCCGCGUGAAUGAAGAAGGCCUUCGGAUUGUAAAGUACUUUCAGCGGAGAGGCGUUACCCGCAGAAGAAGCACCGGCUAACUCCGUGCCAGCAGCCGCGGUAAUAC
This 407-nucleotide ribosomal RNA is filed under the name uncultured bacterium. RNAcentral's name for it is "partial 16S ribosomal RNA". It matches the Rfam family "Bacterial small subunit ribosomal RNA", at positions 30 to 526 of the family's 1533-position model. The record is from RNAcentral.